This is a long non-coding RNA of Engraulis encrasicolus (European anchovy), 533 nucleotides long. RefSeq lists it as uncharacterized. The transcript has 2 exons. The record is from RefSeq and is a predicted model, not a curated record. Lineage: Eukaryota; Metazoa; Chordata; Actinopteri; Clupeiformes; Engraulidae.
UUGUGAUGGGCAGCUGCCUUAGCUAUUAUUACCUGGCCAAUGGGGAUUCUAGAGGGAUUAUGGGCAGGUGUAUAAAGACUCAUGUUUUCAGAGCAUCUUGGCAUUUGGUGGGGGGAUCAGACUGGAGGCAGCAGUAGACCAAGGAGGGAGAGACGGUUCUGAUGGGAAAGCGAACGAAACGACCCAAGUUGGCCCGUACGCCCGCAGCCCUCCACCGAAGAAACGUGAGCAACCCUUGUCAGUGCACUGCACUCCUCGCUUGCACUGGAUGUCAUCUGUUCUGUCCUCACCCCCUUCCGUAGAGCCCGAACAGCGUUGGCUGGGGACCGUGACCAGGCUCAGGCGGAAUUGACGUUGGGUUGGAGCCAAACCAUGCUCUCAGUCAGCUAUGGACUGAAUGUGUGCUGAAUCCGGAUUGAGCAGAUGUCACCACCACCGUAAGGAACUAAGACCGCUGAGACUAUUUGCUUUUUCUAAAGGACAAUUUAGUUUUAACAUAUUGGUAAGCCUAAAUAAAAGUGCUAUUUAUUUUU